This is a long non-coding RNA of Saccostrea cuccullata (small rock oyster), 1464 nucleotides long. RefSeq lists it as uncharacterized. The record is from RefSeq and is a predicted model, not a curated record. The transcript has 4 exons. Lineage: Eukaryota; Metazoa; Mollusca; Bivalvia; Ostreida; Ostreidae.
GGGAUUAGAGUAUGAUGAGUAUCUCUCCUUUCCGUCGAUACUCCCUUAGUACUGCAAUAUACACAGUCGACUGGAAGAAAUCCUCGACCUCAGCAUACAUGAAGCCAUAGCAAGAAGCAGUGAAAGCCACAGCAGUGAUUGGAUGGAGCAUAAGUUUUUCUAUGUCUCGGCGCCUCUAUGGAUGUCAUAUUUAGAUCAGAUGCAAUCUGAGCCUUGUUCUGAAUUUCAAAAUCCCCUUUGACAACACCUGCACAGCUGAGCAAUCAAGGGCCUAGGGAUCCGGGUUAGAAUAGGUCCUCAGUACCCCCUUGCUUGUCGUAAAAGGCGACUAAAUGGGCGGUCCUUCGGAUGAGACCGUAUAAACCGAGGCCCCGUGUCACAGCAGGUGUGGCACGAUAAAGAUCCUUCCUUGCUCAAAGGCCCUGAGUGCCGAGCAUAGGCCUAAAUUUGCAGCCCUUCACCGGCAAUGGUGACGUCUCCAUAGUGAAAUAUUCUGGAGAGGGACGUUAAACAGUAUACAAUCAAUCAAUCACAUUCUGACUAAGGGCUGAAUUAUAGUGAACACUACCAUUCAGAGACUUUGAAACAGAUUGAUGAAUGAACCACAUGCAUUAUGUCAGAGGAAUUUAGCUGGAGCACCUAUUUAGCAGCCAGGACACAUAGAUGUACCUGUACAGUUGAUACAGAUAAUCUCAACGGCACAUUUCUAAAUUAUGGCCAAAAAAAUCUAAUAAAGACACUGUCAGUUUAAAACUUUUUGAAAGAAAUCCAGACCAGAAACAAAGGAUAUUGAUUUUUAAACUCCUCCAAAUGUAAAAGGGGUUUUAUUGAAGCCAAGACCAGGAUACACCCAAGAAUAUUUAAUAUUACACCCCUUAAACAUAAAAUUUUGAAUUUUAUUUUGCCUAUCUAGUCAAGAACAUGGAUUUUUUGACAUUUGAUACACUUUAUAAUGUUACAUUGACAUUUUUUCAAGAUUUCUUUACUGUAAACUAUGUAUUUCAGCAAAAAGUACAUUUACAGAUGAUUUUUCAAAAAUUGCUUUAAAAAUACAAUUGAAAUAAUUAGAUCAUGUCUCAUAAAUGGUUAAUCACAGUUACCACAGAAACCAAAUAUUUGUUUUAAAGAAGUUAGGUACAAAAAAAAAUGUUGUGUCUUUCAUUAUUUUAGCUAAUGGCCACUCAUACAGUUUUCUUCAUACAAACUAAUCACAUUGACUAAAUUGUAUAGGCAAAUACAAUAUUUUUGGAGAUGUUGUCAUGGUAACCAGAUACAAAUCACAAAAUCAUAUUUAAAAAAAAAUAUAUUUUCAUGCAUUUACAAUAAACUGUGAAAAUAAUACAUGUAUGUUAGUCAAUAAUUAUUUUGUAUUUCAUGGAGAUUUUGUAAAGUCAAUUUAUUUAAAAAAGCAUUUCCAGAAUAAUUUGUUACCAUGGUUACAAAAAUUUAUGAGAAAUCCACUGG